CUGGCUCAGAACGAACGCUGGCGGCGCGUUUUAAGCAUGCAAGUCGAGCGGUAAGCAUCCUUCGGGAUGCCUAGAGCGGCGAACGGGUGAGUAACACGUAGGUAAUCUGCCGUGCGAUUGGGGAUAGCCUGUGGAAACACAGGGUAAUACCGAAUACGACCUUCGGGGGAAAGGCGCUUCGGCGCCGUCGUACGAUGAGCCUGCGGCGCAUUAGUUAGUUGGCGGGGUAAAAGCCCACCAAGGCGACGAUGCGUAGCCGACCUGAGAGGGUGAUCGGCCACACUGGGACUGAGAUACGGCCCAGACUCCUACGGGAGGCAGCAGCUAAGAAUCUUCCGCAAUGGACGAAAGUCUGACGGAGCGACGCCGCGUGGGCGAGGAAGGCCGAAAGGUUGUAAAGCCCUUUUCUGCGUGAGGAAUAAGCAUCGGAGGCAAUGCCGGUGUGAUGACGGUAGCGCAGGAAUAAGCCCCGGCCAAUUACGUGCCAGCAGCCGCGGUAACACGUAUGGGGCGAGCGUUGUUCGGAAUUAUUGGGCGUAAAGGGCGCGCAGGCGGUCAUGCAAGCUUGGUGUGAAAGACCACGGCUCAACGGUGGAAACGCGCUGAGAACUGUAUGACUUGAGUUUCGGAGGGGGAACUGGAAUUCCAGGUGUAGGGGUGAAAUCUGUAGAUUUCUGGAAGAACAUCAGUGGCGAAGGCGAGUUCCUGGCCGACAACUGACGCUNAGGCGCGAAAGCGUGGGGAGCGAACAGGAUUAGAUACCCUGGUAGUCCACGCCGUAAACGAUGUGCACUAGGUGUUGGGCUUUCGAAGGCUCAGUGCCGCAAGUUAACACGUUAAGUGCACCGCCUGGGGAGUAUGC
This 862-nucleotide ribosomal RNA is filed under the name uncultured organism. Its description in RNAcentral is "bacterial SSU rRNA". It matches the Rfam family "Bacterial small subunit ribosomal RNA", at positions 19 to 885 of the family's 1533-position model. The record is from RNAcentral.